AAUCUUUUUGAGCCUAUUGCUAAUACCCCUACAGGCUUAGAUCAAGUGUAGUAUCUGUUCUUUUCAGUUUAAUCUCUGAAACGGUUCUAUGGAACCUUUUUUUGAUUAUACUUAUUUUUGUUUACCUCGGGACCCUGUCUCUGGCUUGCCAUGCUUGGUCCCACUGUGUCGCCGGUAUUGCACUGCCUCCGGUUGACGCGAACUUUU
RNAcentral lists this small nuclear RNA (207 nucleotides) under Tuber melanosporum Mel28. RNAcentral describes it as "U2 spliceosomal RNA". It matches the Rfam family "U2 spliceosomal RNA". From Rfam's summary of the family: U2 is a small nuclear RNA (snRNA) component of the spliceosome (involved in pre-mRNA splicing). Complementary binding between U2 snRNA (in an area lying towards the 5' end but 3' to hairpin I) and the branchpoint sequence (BPS) of the intron results the bulging out of an unpaired adenosine, on the BPS, which initiates a nucleophilic attack at the intronic 5' splice site, thus starting the first of two transesterification reactions that mediate splicing. Lineage: Eukaryota; Fungi; Ascomycota; Pezizomycetes; Pezizales; Tuberaceae. The record is from Rfam by way of RNAcentral.